This 233-nucleotide long non-coding RNA is filed under the name Sorghum bicolor (sorghum). RNAcentral describes it as "long non-coding RNA (SBIC_LNC015737)". Lineage: Eukaryota; Viridiplantae; Streptophyta; Magnoliopsida; Poales; Poaceae. The record is from RNAcentral.
GUUUGGUUGUUGAACUAAAAACUGCUUGUGUAGACAUUGGUAUAUUUUGUCGGACUAACCCCAGCAGGAAAACUUUCAAUAUCAACCUGGGAAGUCCUGAGAUACAAACUCACAUUGGAGAUAAAGGAGACACAUGAAGUUUAAUGGUUUGCACAAGGAAGACAUAGCUCAUUCAUCAUAGAGAGAUGAUCCAUGGAACGAGACAAAGAGUGCCACAAACAAGAUACACACCC